Molecule: long non-coding RNA, 607 nt
Organism: Dromaius novaehollandiae (emu)
Lineage: Eukaryota; Metazoa; Chordata; Aves; Casuariiformes; Dromaiidae
Exons: 4
Source: RefSeq, a predicted model, not a curated record
CAGGAGGGGCUAUGUGGCCCUGGCCCCUCUAACAUGUAGCUACAUCUGCUAGAUCUUUCUCUGCACUUCCAUUCCCAUCUGUAAUGUGAGGAAGAUCUUUCCUUCUCCUCUCAAUAGUCGUCGAGAUGAAUGGCUGCAAGGGUCUCUGUGAAUCCCUGCGAGUGACUGGGACCUCAGACUCCGUCGUAAUUCAGGCCAGACCAGACUCAUUGCAAAGUUAAAUUGUAAGGGGAAAACUUGCUGGAAUAUAAAGAACAUGGAGGCCCUCAAGGAGACCUGCUGAUUCUGCUCGAGUGGGAAUUUGGCCAGGAGAUCCUCACUUUGGUUGCAAAAGCAUAACCUGACUCCUAAGAGAUGGGUUUGACGGGGUCUCUGAUGGAGCUGCUGGCCAGCAGUGAACACAGCCUGAAGCGUCCCGGUGGCCAGCCCCAGCCCCAGCUGGCCAUCCUGGCAAAGUCCUCCAUUCACACCACCGUUGCAGGAGGCUUAAAGACUUCCCUUGUGCACAGCUGGGUAAUAAAGGCCUCCAGUAUCCUAAGUGCAGAUGGAGAGGCAGUUCCAUCCGGCUGCGUAAUAGCCGUUCAGUAUUUAAUAAAAACUGUUCUGA